ACACACAUCCACACACUCACACCCCACCCCCUAGUCUGGCUGGGAAUUUGAACCGAUCCAGCCUGUUUAAACGGAAAGGACACAGAUCUUCAAUGUAAAAAAAAAAUCAGAUCAGACCCAGAGAGAGAGAGAGACGGAGAGGGAGGAGUGUGUGUGUGUGCGAGUGUGUGUGUGUGUGUGUGAAAGAGGGAGAGGGAGAGCGAGAGAGAGGGAGAGAGAGGGAGAGAGAGAGAGAGAGAGAGGGAGAGAGAGAGAAAAGAAGAGGGGGAAAAAAAGGAAAGAAGAUUUUCUCUAUGUAUAUAAAGAUGGCCACGUUAGCAAACGGACAACCAGACAAUACCAGCCUGAGUAGCAAUCACAGCAACCCCAGCACCAACGGGCAUAUGAACGGAUUAAACCAUAGUCCCGGAAACCCAUCCACCAUCCCAAUGAAGGACCACGAUGCCAUUAAGCUCUUUAUUGGGCAGAUUCCCCGUAACCUGGACGAGAAAGACCUCAAACCGCUCUUCGAGGAGUUCGGGAAGAUCUAUGAACUGACGGUGCUGAAGGACAGGUUCACUGGCAUGCACAAAGGCUGUGCCUUCCUAACAUACUGCGAAAGGGAGUCUGCUCUAAAGGCCCAGAGUGCACUGCACGAACAGAAGACACUGCCAGGGAUGAAUAGACCGAUCCAGGUGAAACCAGCGGACAGCGAAAGCCGAGGAGAAGACAGAAAACUCUUUGUGGGCAUGCUUAAUAAGCAGCAGUCAGAAGAUGAUGUGCGCAGGCUAUUCGAGGCAUUUGGCAACAUUGAGGAGUGCACAAUCCUUCGGGGACCCGAUGGAAACAGCAAAGGGUGUGCAUUUGUGAAAUAUUCUUCGCAUGCAGAGGCCCAAGCAGCUAUCAAUGCCUUGCAUGGCAGCCAGACAAUGCCGGGAGCCUCUUCAAGCCUGGUGGUGAAGUUUGCAGAUACAGACAAGGAGCGUACAAUGAGGCGCAUGCAGCAAAUGGCGGGACAAAUGGGCAUGUUCAACCCCAUGGCCAUCCAGUUUGGAGCAUAUGGCGCCUAUGCACAGGCACUGAUGCAGCAGCAAGCCGCGAUCAUGGCUUCGGUGGCACAGGGCGGCUACCUGAACCCCAUGGCAGCCUUUGCUGCAGCUCAGAUGCAGCAGAUGGCGGCUCUGAACAUGAAUGGCCUGGCAGCUGCCCCCAUGACUCCAACCUCAGGUGGAAGCACGCCUCCUGGCAUAACUGCACCAGCUGUGCCUAGCAUCCCAUCUCCCAUUGGGGUGAAUGGUUUCACUGGCCUCCCGCCGCAGGCUAACGGGCAGCCCGCCGCAGAAGCAGUGUUUGCAAAUGGCAUACACCCUUACCCAGCGCAGAGUCCCACUGCAGCAGACCCCUUGCAGCAAGCCUACGCUGGAGUGCAGCAGUACGCAGGUCCUGCUUAUCCUGCUGCUUAUGGCCAGAUUAGCCAAGCGUUCCCACAGCCACCUCCCAUGAUACCACAGCAACAGAGAGAAGGACCAGAGGGCUGUAACCUGUUUAUCUACCAUCUGCCCCAGGAGUUUGGGGAUGCUGAGCUGAUGCAGAUGUUCCUGCCUUUCGGUAAUGUCAUCUCCUCGAAAGUGUUUGUGGAUCGGGCGACAAACCAAAGUAAAUGCUUUGGUUUUGUGAGUUUUGACAAUCCUGCCAGUGCCCAAGCUGCCAUCCAAGCUAUGAAUGGCUUCCAGAUUGGCAUGAAGAGGCUGAAGGUGCAGCUGAAGAGGCCAAAGGAUGCUAAUCGUCCCUACUGAGAAGUUAUGGGAACCACUGGAUAUAAAGCACUAGCACAGAGCCAGUCAAAUCCACCACAGUCUCGCGCUGAGCUAGGAAAAAAGUUCACGUAAUGACAUGAAAGUGGAGAAUACAGUCCCCCAGGCCGGCAGCAGCUGAAUGGGCCACAAUUAGAAAAACAAAACAAAAACAAAACAAAACAAAACAAAAACACAAAAAAGUAUAUCUAUAUUAAAAAAAAAAAACGGGAACUGUUGGAUUACACCUUUGACAUAUCAGCAAAUAUCAAUCAAGCUGAAGACUUCAGACUUAUUCUCUCUUUGAUUGUUUAGACUGUAACAUUUCUUCAAGAAAAGUAUCACAUCUGCUGACUUCGAAGGACAUGCGCUUGAAAACAAACAAACAAACACAUAAGUAAAAUCAGAACAGGAACAAGAUCAACCAGGAUUUCUGAAGAAACACUGAUAUCACCACAGCGGCUUUUCUUCAAACAGGAGAUGCAAACCUGGAUACUGACAAAGGAGUGCCUGUUUGCCACCAAGGAUGCGGUUACCAUGUGCGACCCAUGGUAGCAGUCACUGAGCAUCUUUAUCUGUCAUUCCUUAGCUAUAUAGGGACCAAAGGACAAAACUUUUUACCGCAGACUUGUAGCUGUAUGUAAAAUAUGGAAGUUCUUUCCUUUUCUCUGAGCUGUUCCUAAAACAGUUUUUGAGAGCGAUUAUAAGAAAUAUAUAAAAAUUAAAAAAAAAAAAAUGCUUAAAUGCUUUUAAAACAGCAAGAUAAUAGUUCUUUGAUACUUUGGGAGGUUCUUUGGUUAUACGUUAAUUAGAGUCUAUGAAGCUUUCGUAUGGUUUUCUGUAUAAUACGUAAGGAUUGCGCUGUUAAAGGCAGGUUAGAUGGAUAUCUAUGAAAAGCAAAAAAGAAAAAAACUUAAAUACACUAAAAAGCAUAGAAGAGAAGAGAAAGGAAAGAUGGUUGAUAUUAAAAUGGAAAACAAAAAAAGAAAAGGUUUGUAAAUGCUUCUAACUCUCCCCAUUUAAAAUCCUAAUAGUUGUACAGAAUUUAAAAAAGAAAGUUUAAAAUACCUAUAUAAUAGAAAAAAAAUUAGACAACAUAAAAAAAUAAAAAAAAAACAAAAAAGCAAAAAAAAAAAUAAUACUACAUAGAAGUUAGCGUUAAUGCUAAAACAAAGAUGUUGUAGAACUGUAAUUUUUGUAGAGUUUAGAUUGAGCAUAAAUUCCUACUCUGCGAAUUGCUGUUGGAUGCUGUUAUUUAUUAAGGAGACAAAGGAGAUAAAUGGCUAUUAUGGCAGCUUUUUUAACUGCAAGCAUUCCAGCUAUUAACAAAAUAAACAGAAUAAAACUCGACUCUGUAGACAAUGCAAAUGGGAAACAAAACAGCUGUCUUUUUAUCAGACGUUAGUUCUAACUUGAAGAACGAAACACAGCUAAACGCUUCAUGUCUUCAUGAUCUGCUGUCCGCGAAAUUCCCAUCAUCCUAUGCUUCAGUAGCUUCCAUAUUUGCUCUAGAAACCUUCAGGGCAAGUGAUUAGCCUAGAAACCUUAAACUUAAAAAAAAAAAAAAAAAAAAAAAAAAAAAAUUAAAAAAGCAUAAAAAAAAAAAAAAAACCUAAGUAUAAAA
Molecule: RNA transcript, 3396 nt
Organism: Tympanuchus pallidicinctus (lesser prairie-chicken)
Lineage: Eukaryota; Metazoa; Chordata; Aves; Galliformes; Phasianidae
Gene: CELF4
Gene name: CUGBP Elav-like family member 4
Exons: 14
Source: RefSeq, a predicted model, not a curated record